Molecule: non-coding RNA, 478 nt
Organism: Pelobates cultripes (western spadefoot toad)
Lineage: Eukaryota; Metazoa; Chordata; Amphibia; Anura; Pelobatidae
Source: the annotation of a GenBank genome assembly
GUGCAAUUCAUUUAGUUCUGAAUGCAAAUUCGGACAAAUUUUGGAAAUUCCGACAUUAGGAUGCAUCCGAAUGUCCAAAGUGCAGAAAUGCUGAAUUUCAGAAUGCCGAACCGAACCAAAUUGUCGAAGUUCUGUAGUGCCGAAUUUUGAAAUGCCGAACCGAAUUGCCAAAGUGCCGAAUUUCGGAAGUGCUGAAGUGCUUCGGAUUUCUGAAAAGUGGCAAAACAGGAGAGGGUUGGUGUUAGUGGUUGAGGUAGGGUUAGGGUACGGUUAGUGGUUGGGGUAGAGGUAGGGUUAGUGGUAAAGUUAGGUUUAGGAGUAGGGUUAUUGGCUGGAGUAGGGUUAGGGUAUGCUUAGGUUUAGGGGUAGGGUUAGGGGUAAGGUUAGUGGUUGGGGUAGGGUUAGUGGUUGGAGUAGGGUUAGGGGUAGGGUUAAGGCUAAGGUUAAGGGUUGGGGUAGGGUUAGUGGCUGGAGUAGG